RNAcentral lists this ribosomal RNA (468 nucleotides) under uncultured bacterium. RNAcentral's name for it is "partial 16S ribosomal RNA". It matches the Rfam family "Bacterial small subunit ribosomal RNA", at positions 28 to 507 of the family's 1533-position model. The record is from RNAcentral.
GACGAACGCUGGCGGCGUGCUUAACACAUGCAAGUCGAACGGAAAGGCCCUGCUUUUGUGGGGGGCUCGAGUGGCGAACGGGUGAGUAACACGUGAGUAACCUGCCCUGGACUUUGGGAUAACUUCAGGAAACUGGGGCUAAUACCGGAUAGGAGCUCCUGCUGCAUGGUGGGGGUUGGAAAGUUUCGGCGGUUGGGGAUGGACUCGCGGCUUAUCAGCUUGUUGGUGGGGUAGUGGCUUACCAAGGCUUUGACGGGUAGCCGGCCUGAGAGGGUGACCGGCCACAUUGGGAAUGAGCUACGGCCCAGACUCCUACGGGAGGCAGCAGCGGGGAAUAUUGCAUAAUGGGGGGAAGCAUGAUGCAGCAACGCCGCGUGCGGGAUGACGGCCUUCGGGUUGUAAACCGCUUUCGCCUGUGACGAAGCGUGAGUGACGGUAAUGGGUAAAGAAGCACCGGCUAACUACGUG